AGUUGCGGAUCCGGCGCAAUUGCGCUCCCGAUCCCAUCCCGAACUCGGAAGUGAAACGCAGCCGCGCCGAUGGUAGUGUGCACCUCGCAUGCAAGAGUAGGUCACCGCCAGGG
This 113-nucleotide ribosomal RNA is filed under the name Rhodanobacter sp. SCN 69-32. The record is from RNAcentral. Lineage: Bacteria; Pseudomonadati; Pseudomonadota; Gammaproteobacteria; Lysobacterales; Rhodanobacteraceae.